Molecule: ribosomal RNA, 437 nt
Filed under: uncultured bacterium
Lineage: Bacteria
Description: partial 16S ribosomal RNA
Rfam family: Bacterial small subunit ribosomal RNA
Source: RNAcentral
AGCGAACGCUGGCGGCAGGCUUAACACAUGCAAGUCGAGCGGGCAUCCUUGUGGUGUCAGCGGCAGACGGGUGAGUAACGCGUGGGAACGUGCCCUUCGGUUCGGAAUAACUCAGGGAAACUUGAGCUAAUACCGGAUACGUGCGAGAGCAGAAAGGUUUAUCUGCCGAAGGAUCGGCCCGCGUCUGAUUAGCUAGUUGGUGAGGUUACGGCUCACCAAGGCGACGAUCAGUAGCUGGUCUGAGAGGAUGAUCAGCCACACUGGGACUGAGACACGGCCCAGACUCCUACGGGAGGCAGCAGUGGGGAAUAUUGGACACUGGGGGCAACCCUGAUCCAGCCAUGCCGCGUGAGUGAUGACGGCCUUAGGGUUGUAAAGCUCUUUUCUCCGGGACGAUAAUGACGGUACCGGAGGAAUAAGCCCCGGCUAACUUCGUG